This 413-nucleotide ribosomal RNA is filed under the name Babesia bigemina. RNAcentral's name for it is "partial small subunit ribosomal RNA". It matches the Rfam family "Eukaryotic small subunit ribosomal RNA", at positions 452 to 933 of the family's 1831-position model. Lineage: Eukaryota; Apicomplexa; Aconoidasida; Piroplasmida; Babesiidae. The record is from RNAcentral.
UGACACAGGGAGGUAGUGACAAGAAAUAACAAUACAGGGCUUUCGUCUUGUAAUUGGAAUGAUGGUGAUGUACAACCUCACCAGAGUACCAAUUGGAGGGCAAGUCUGGUGCCAGCAGCCGCGGUAAUUCCAGCUCCAAUAGCGUAUAUUAAACUUGUUGCAGUUAAAAAGCUCGUAGUUGUAUUUCAGCCUCGCGUUUUUUCCCUCGUUUUGGGUCUUUUCGCUGGCUUUUUUUUUACUUUGAGAAAAUUAGAGUGUUUCAAGCAGACUUUUGUCUUGAAUACUUCAGCAUGGAAUAAUAGAGUAGGACCUUGGUUCUAUUUUGUUGGUUUUGAGCCUUGGUAAUGGUUAAUAGGAACGGUUGGGGGCAUUCGUAUUUAACUGUCAGAGGUGAAAUUCUUAGAUUUGUUAAA